GACAAUACUCUCAAGCACAUGGGGUGACUCCUGUGGAUGCUCUGGUGCAGGACCAGGAGCUGGACUUCAUCAGCACUGUGGGUCCAUUCGUACUGAGCAUAUUCCGUGAUUCAGCAAUUCUGUUUCAUACUGCAGAAUAUCUGGGCAUGGAUCUCUUCAAAGAGAUAUCCUGGGAAAGAGUGGAGCAAUCAAGACCAUUUCCAGGGACACAGCCUGACCAGAAGUGCCAGCAGGCAAAACAAAAUUUUGCCAAGCAAUGGGCCUUUGAUGAAGCAAUACAUUUACAAUCAGGUCAGCCCAUUCCUGCUGAUUGGGGUACACUCUGGGACUACAGCUAAGGCCGUGAGGUCACAGCAGGCUCUGGGGUGACAGCAGGCUGAGGUCACAGCAGGCUCUGAGGUCACAGAGGUGCCAGGGCCCCGUGGUUGCACAGCACCACAGCCAGCGAGCAGUCAGUCCUUGGGCACAGCUGUUGCGGCAGCAGCGGCGGCGGCGGCGGCAGCGGUGCUGACAUUGGGACAGCGGUGGCAGCACAGCGGUGGCAGCAAGAGCUGCGGGACUGGCAGAGGGCAAGGCACCAUGGCCCUUGCUCUGCGCCUCUUCCUCCUGCUCCUCCUGGCAGUGGCCCUGCCUGCCAGGGCUGCCCAGGCAGCUCCGUGGCCAGCGCGGGGAGCAGGUGAGCCGGCGGCCUGGCUCCCCUUUCCCGGGACAGCGCUCCCUUCUCCCCAGGAAGCGCUGGGGAUGGUUUUGCGUAGGGCUUGAGGGAGGCUUUCCUCUGUGGGAGGGAGAGAGCCCACAGGGGCCCUGGGCAGCUCCAGCCACCCAUCCAGGGAUGUUGCACAGGCCAUGGAAAGGGUGUGCAGAGUGCCCAGAGCCAGCCCAGAGCUCCCCAGGCCCCUCUGCAGCUUUGGCCAUGUCCAUUCACAUGUGGAUCCUACGGCUUUACCCGACACAUACACAUGAAAUGGAACUAUUUUCCUCUAAGGUUUUCCAACAGUCCAGAGCCAUUACACAGGAGAUGAGAGAUCCCUGGAGGCAGACAGACUUCUGGAGCAGAUGCUGAGUGAUCUGGAGAGACGCCGUGGUGGGUGCAUUUCCCUCAGCCUUCUCCUGAGGCUCAGCAGCCGGGGGCUUUCUCUGCACAUCUGGACACGCCGUGCCCGGCACAGCGGGAAGGGAUCCAUGGCAGCCUCGCUGCCCCGCUGCUGCUGUCACACCCUGCAGGGCUGUUUCCCAGCCUGGCCUGGCUAAAGCUUCUCCCCAGUCUCUGGAGGAAGGCCGCUGGCAUCAGCUCACAGGGAGCUCACACUGCCCCAGGGGCCAUGCACACCCUGAGAUCCCCUGAAAUUUCCUGGUCUCCCCGCACAUGAGGAGGGGCAGCUGUUUGGAGAAGGGGGGCCCUGGCCAGUCCCAUAACCUGGCCUUUAUGCUGAUCCUUAUCAAUAUCUAUGACAAGCAUUGAGUCCUGAAGGUGGCACCUCCCUAGUGGGAAACAGCUCUUUCUGAUCCAGCUGUCCCUUUUCCUUUCUCCAGGGAUUGAAGAAGAGACUGGGCUGGCAGCUCCGAUUCCUAUAGGAAGCAGUGGUUCUGUUCCAGCCUCUGCUGCAGGAAGGGAGGAGAUGCCAGGCACAGUCACAGGAGGUAAUUGCUGUGCCUCCCCCCCCCCCCCCCCCCCCCCCCCCCCCCCCCCCCCCCCCCCCCCCCCCCCCCCCCCCCCCCCCCCCCCCCCCCCCCCCCCCCCCCCCCCCCCCCCCCCCCCCCCCCCCCCCCCCC
Molecule: long non-coding RNA, 1773 nt
Filed under: Ficedula albicollis (Collared flycatcher)
Lineage: Eukaryota; Metazoa; Chordata; Aves; Passeriformes; Muscicapidae
Description: lncRNA (ENSFALG00000025389.1)
Source: RNAcentral